CUCGGUGGUUGGAGCGGUAAGGUUCCACCUGAUUCCAUCCCGAACUCAGUAGUGAAACUUACCAGCGGGGACGAUAAUGCAUCCGCAAGGUUGCGUGAAAAUACCUCACUGCCGGAU
This 117-nucleotide ribosomal RNA is filed under the name Candidatus Daviesbacteria bacterium. The record is from RNAcentral. Lineage: Bacteria; Candidatus Daviesiibacteriota.